GAAAUCCGAUAAGUAAUGCGAAUUGCAGAUUUCAGCGAGUCAUCGAAUCUUUGAACGCACAUUGCACCCGGUGGUAUUCCGCCGGGUAUGCCUGUUCGAGCGUCAUUUCUACCCUCAGGCCCCCGCAAGGGAGCCUGGCGUUGGGGCCUGCGACCGCUGCACCGUCAGCGUCGCAGCCCUUAAAUACAGUGGCGCGUCUGCCGUGGUUCGCCCCCUGCGUAGUAAGAUUAACAUCCCUCGCACCGGGUCCCGGGAGGCGCUGCCUUGCCCUGCCGGCAGGGACCGCUAGCGGUCUCCGCCGGCGCCCACCAUCGUUAGUUGACCUCGAAUCAGGUAGGGUUACCCGCUGAACUUAA
Molecule: unclassified non-coding RNA, 356 nt
Filed under: uncultured Ascomycota
Lineage: Eukaryota; Fungi; Ascomycota
Description: sequence contains ITS1
Rfam family: 5.8S ribosomal RNA (bases 1-105)
Source: RNAcentral